AAUUUGGGAGGCCAAGGCCGGCUGGUCUCAAACUCCUGACCUCAAGUGAUCUGCCUGCCUUGGCCUCCCAAAGUGCUGGGAUUACAGGUGUGAACCACCAUGCCCAGCCUGAUUCUGCAUUUCUAAGAAGCUACCCGGUGAUGCUUAUGUUACUGCUCUAUGAACCAACCACAUGUUGAGCCUUGAGCUGUGAAGGAGCUAUGGUUGGAAGGAACUUGGCAUUGACACGGAGCUGAGUGAGGCCAGAGUGGUUGGAAUGCAGAGUGACAGGGAGAGUGGCGGGAAGGGAGCAGGGCAACUCAGCCCCUAGGGACCUCCAUGCAGUGCCCUGUAGGCCCAGAUGUUCUGCCUGAUCCCAGAAGCAAAGGAUCUUAAGCCAC
Molecule: long non-coding RNA, 380 nt
Filed under: Homo sapiens (human)
Lineage: Eukaryota; Metazoa; Chordata; Mammalia; Primates; Hominidae
Description: HSALNT0263194
Source: RNAcentral